Molecule: transfer RNA, 72 nt
Filed under: Camelus bactrianus (Bactrian camel)
Lineage: Eukaryota; Metazoa; Chordata; Mammalia; Artiodactyla; Camelidae
Also listed under: 2 other names
Rfam family: tRNA
About the family: Transfer RNA (tRNA) molecules are approximately 80 nucleotides in length. Their secondary structure includes four short double-helical elements and three loops (D, anti-codon, and T loops).
Source: Rfam by way of RNAcentral
GAGGGUAUAGCUUAGGGGUAGAGUAUGUGCUUAGCAUGUGCAAAGUCCUGGGUUCAGUCUCCAGUAUCUCCA